Molecule: transfer RNA, 72 nt
Filed under: bacterium
Lineage: Bacteria
Description: tRNA-Val
Rfam family: tRNA
About the family: Transfer RNA (tRNA) molecules are approximately 80 nucleotides in length. Their secondary structure includes four short double-helical elements and three loops (D, anti-codon, and T loops).
Source: RNAcentral
GGGCGGUUAGCUCAGCGGUAGAGCGUCUCCUUUACACGGAGAGGGUCGUGGGUUCGAAUCCCUCAUCGCCCA